RNAcentral lists this transfer RNA (72 nucleotides) under Saccharomyces cerevisiae YJM270. Its description in RNAcentral is "tRNA-Pro". It matches the Rfam family "tRNA". Rfam says of the family: Transfer RNA (tRNA) molecules are approximately 80 nucleotides in length. Their secondary structure includes four short double-helical elements and three loops (D, anti-codon, and T loops). Further hydrogen bonds mediate the characteristic L-shaped molecular structure. tRNAs have two regions of fundamental functional importance: the anti-codon, which is responsible for specific mRNA codon recognition, and the 3' end, to which the tRNAs corresponding amino acid is attached (by aminoacyl-tRNA synthetases). tRNAs cope with the degeneracy of the genetic code in two manners: having more than one tRNA (with a specific anti-codon) for a particular amino acid; and 'wobble' base-pairing, i.e. permitting non-standard base-pairing at the 3rd anti-codon position. RNAcentral also lists the same sequence under 2 other names. The record is from RNAcentral. Lineage: Eukaryota; Fungi; Ascomycota; Saccharomycetes; Saccharomycetales; Saccharomycetaceae.
GGGCGUGUGGUCUAGUGGUAUGAUUCUCGCUUUGGGUGCGAGAGGUCCUGGGUUCAAUUCCCAGCUCGCCCC